This 305-nucleotide ribosomal RNA is filed under the name uncultured Flavobacteriaceae bacterium. RNAcentral describes it as "bacterial LSU rRNA". It matches the Rfam family "Bacterial large subunit ribosomal RNA", at positions 1 to 320 of the family's 2925-position model. The record is from RNAcentral. Lineage: Bacteria; Pseudomonadati; Bacteroidota; Flavobacteriia; Flavobacteriales; Flavobacteriaceae.
AAUAAGCUAUUUAAGAGCGUAAGGUGGAUGCCUUGGCUCUCAGAGGCGAUGAAGGACGUGAUAAGCUGCGAUAAGCUGCGGGGAUUGGCACACACAAUUUGAUCCGUAGAUUUCCGAAUGGGGCAACCCACUAUAUUGAAGAUAUAGUAUCCGUUAAGGAAGCAAACCCAGGGAACUGAAACAUCUAAGUACCUGGAGGAAUAGAAAACAAAAGUGAUUCCGCUAGUAGUGGCGAGCGAACGCGGAACAGCCCAAACCAAAAUUGUUUCGGCAAUUCUGGGGUUGUAGGACCACGACAUUGAAUG